GCGACCUCAGGACUCUUCUUUCUGAGGGACCCAAGCCUCUGCCUUCCCCCCACCAGGUCCUUAGUCGAGAAAACCGUGCGGUGGGGGAGGGAGGAGGGGAGCGAAUCGUGCUGUGUGUCAUCCACCUGCCCCCCAGCUCCUGAACUGUCAACCACCGACCCUAGGAAGCUAGACUGUGAGCCUCGAGAUGCUGGAGGCCAACCUGGGCCAUGUGAUGACCCCGAGUCAGAGGAAAGCAGAGGCGAAGACGGAGAGAGGACUAGUCCCUGAGAACUGUGGGUCAUCCCUGAAGGCAGCCUUCUUUCCUUGGCCUUUUCAGCAACACAAGCCAAUGAAUGUCUCUCUGCGCACACGUGAGAUUGUCUCCGGGGAUGUACGUGCAGAAGAAGGUGGCAGGGGGCUCUUCUUCAUCUGUACACGGCGCCGCUGAGCGGCGGUACCAAGAUCGAGUGAAGAGUUCCCGUUCCCACAUCCCUGACGGAGAACCAUUUUCAUCUUUGUCAGUCCAGAGGAAAUUGUACCUCACCGUGGUUUUCGUGAGCCUUCCCUGUUUAGGAGGCUGUCCAUCAUCGUUCCACGUGCGUCUAUUUCAGUUUCCUCUUCUGUUCAAUCCCUUUACCUGCGUUUGCCUUUUGAAUAAAAAGUAUAUCAGCAUGAACUACA
Molecule: long non-coding RNA, 663 nt
Organism: Capra hircus (goat)
Lineage: Eukaryota; Metazoa; Chordata; Mammalia; Artiodactyla; Bovidae
Exons: 3
Source: RefSeq, a predicted model, not a curated record